AGCAGCCGCGGUAAUUCCAGCUCCAAUAGCGUAUAUUUAAGUUGUUGCAGUUAAAAGCUGUAGUUGAAAUUUCGGCGCGGUCGUCGGGUCGGCUUUGGCUGUACUCGACGCGCCGCGCUUACUUCUGGAGCGCCAAUGUGCCCUUUACUGGGUGCGUUGGCCGCGCCAGGACUUUUAUUUGAAAAAUUAGAGUGUUUAAAGCAGGCUAUCGCUUGAAUACAUUA
This 224-nucleotide ribosomal RNA is filed under the name uncultured Glomeromycotina. RNAcentral describes it as "partial small subunit ribosomal RNA". It matches the Rfam family "Eukaryotic small subunit ribosomal RNA", at positions 569 to 806 of the family's 1831-position model. The record is from RNAcentral. Lineage: Eukaryota; Fungi; Glomeromycota.